CGGUUCGAUAACUGAUGUUGAUGCAGC
RNAcentral lists this small RNA (27 nucleotides) under Bombyx mori (domestic silkworm). Its description in RNAcentral is "ovarian small RNA-14530". The record is from RNAcentral. Lineage: Eukaryota; Metazoa; Arthropoda; Insecta; Lepidoptera; Bombycidae.